Molecule: ribosomal RNA, 465 nt
Filed under: Vreelandella stevensii
Lineage: Bacteria; Pseudomonadati; Pseudomonadota; Gammaproteobacteria; Oceanospirillales; Halomonadaceae
Description: partial 16S ribosomal RNA
Rfam family: Bacterial small subunit ribosomal RNA
Source: RNAcentral
CCUACGGGUGGCAGCAGUGGGGAAUAUUGGACAAUGGGCGAAAGCCUGAUCCAGCCAUGCCGCGUGUGUGAAGAAGGCCUUCGGGUUGUAAAGCACUUUCAGUGGGGAAGAAAGCCUUGGGGCUAAUACCCUCGAGGAAGGACAUCACCCACAGAAGAAGCACCGGCUAACUCCGUGCCAGCAGCCGCGGUAAUACGGAGGGUGCGAGCGUUAAUCGGAAUUACUGGGCGUAAAGCGCGCGUAGGCGGUCUGAUAAGCCGGUUGUGAAAGCCCCGGGCUCAACCUGGGAACGGCAUCCGGAACUGUCAGGCUAGAGUGCAGGAGAGGAAGGUAGAAUUCCCGGUGUAGCGGUGAAAUGCGUAGAGAUCGGGAGGAAGACCAGUGGCGAAGGCGGCCUUCUGGACUGACACUGACGCUGAGGUGCGAAAGCGUGGGUAGCAAACAGGAUUAGAUACCCCUGUAGUC